UUGGAAGUAAAAAGUCGUAACAAGGUUCCGUAGGUGAACCUGCGGAAGGAUCAUUGUUGAU
This 61-nucleotide ribosomal RNA is filed under the name Piper excelsum. RNAcentral's name for it is "Macropiper excelsum partial 18S ribosomal RNA". The record is from RNAcentral. Lineage: Eukaryota; Viridiplantae; Streptophyta; Magnoliopsida; Piperales; Piperaceae.